Myotis davidii is the source of this 867-nucleotide long non-coding RNA. RefSeq lists it as uncharacterized. The record is from RefSeq and is a predicted model, not a curated record. The transcript has 4 exons. Lineage: Eukaryota; Metazoa; Chordata; Mammalia; Chiroptera; Vespertilionidae.
CGUGCUUCAUUCAGGCCUUCCUGGGCAGGGCACAGACUGUGUGAACCUGAGAGCUCUCUGGCUGCUCCUUAAGCUUCUCUAUGGCCAGGAGCCCAGCCAGCUUCUCCAACACGCGCCCCCACAGAGCCGAUGCCCAGAAGCCCAGCACAGAUCCCACCUCCUCAGAAUCACCAAGUGCAAGUGGCCGAGGACAGGUGGACAGGUAGACAGGUGGACAGGCAAGGCCAUCCUAAAUUAGCCAACUGCUACGCAGGGACCAAGUCCAGCCGAGACCAGAAGCGCCUAGUUGAGCCAGCCAAGAUUGGCAGAGCUGCCAAGGUGAACACUCAAGGCAUCCCCUCCUGCAUCCCACCCAAGUCGGUGCUUCAGGAUUCUCAUCUGCUUCAACACCCCACCCCCAGCCCGCCUCCCUGGGUCACUGCAUUCUUCCCUGGACGACACUUGCAUGGAACAAUAGCUCAUCAACAACACAGCUCUUCUGGCUGCAGCUCAGCGGGAUGUUUUGCUAAAAUCACGAUGAUAUUUUUGGCUGGAGGCUACUGACUCAAAAUGUGCUAUGAAAGCAACUCUUACAUCUUGGGAAGCACUGGCCCGAGCUGCCUUCAAGGAACAGAAUUCUGAAUGUGCCUAAGCUGUGCUCUGCACAGAGCUCCAAGUCUUUGCUGAAUGAAUGCUGCACAAACAAGGGUGAGUCAUGACUGGGACUAAACAUAGGCUCUUGUGUGCAUUGGAUCAUAUUUCCCUGCUCUUUGGGGGCAGCGUGCAUCUCACCUUUCCCUUAGCGAGUCAUGUCAUGGGACACUGCCAGCCAGCUGUCUCCAUCAUCAUGUGCGUGAAUGGCAAAGGGACAGGCGAUGGCUCAGAAGG